RNAcentral lists this ribosomal RNA (2921 nucleotides) under Staphylococcus aureus DAR1161. RNAcentral describes it as "bacterial LSU rRNA". It matches the Rfam family "Bacterial large subunit ribosomal RNA". The record is from RNAcentral. Lineage: Bacteria; Bacillati; Bacillota; Bacilli; Caryophanales; Staphylococcaceae.
UUAAGUUAUUAAGGGCGCACGGUGGAUGCCUUGGCACUAGAAGCCGAUGAAGGACGUUACUAACGACGAUAUGCUUUGGGGAGCUGUAAGUAAGCUUUGAUCCAGAGAUUUCCGAAUGGGGAAACCCAGCAUGAGUUAUGUCAUGUUAUCGAUAUGUGAAUACAUAGCAUAUCAGAAGGCACACCCGGAGAACUGAAACAUCUUAGUACCCGGAGGAAGAGAAAGAAAAUUCGAUUCCCUUAGUAGCGGCGAGCGAAACGGGAAGAGCCCAAACCAAAAAGCUUGCUUGUUGGGGUUGUAGGACACUCUAUACGGAGUUACAAAGGACGACAUUAGACGAAUCAUCUGGAAAGAUGAAUCAAAGAAGGUAAUAAUCCUGUAGUCGAAAAUGUUGUCUCUCUUGAGUGGAUCCUGAGUACGACGGAGCACGUGAAAUUCCGUCGGAAUCUGGGAGGACCAUCUCCUAAGGCUAAAUACUCUCUAGUGACCGAUAGUGAACCAGUACCGUGAGGGAAAGGUGAAAAGCACCCCGGAAGGAGAGUGAAAUAGAACCUGAAACCGUGUGCUUACAAGUAGUCAGAGCCCGUUAAUGGGUGAUGGCGUGCCUUUUGUAGAAUGAACCGGCGAGUUACGAUUUGAUGCAAGGUUAAGCAGUAAAUGUGGAGCCGUAGCGAAAGCGAGUCUGAAUAGGGCGUUUAGUAUUUGGUCGUAGACCCGAAACCAGGUGAUCUACCCUUGGUCAGGUUGAAGUUCAGGUAACACUGAAUGGAGGACCGAACCGACUUACGUUGAAAAGUGAGCGGAUGAACUGAGGGUAGCGGAGAAAUUCCAAUCGAACCUGGAGAUAGCUGGUUCUCUCCGAAAUAGCUUUAGGGCUAGCCUCAAGUGAUGAUUAUUGGAGGUAGAGCACUGUUUGGACGAGGGGCCCCUCUUGGGUUACCGAAUUCAGACAAACUCCGAAUGCCAAUUAAUUUAACUUGGGAGUCAGAACAUGGGUGAUAAGGUCCGUGUUCGAAAGGGAAACAGCCCAGACCACCAGCUAAGGUCCCAAAAUAUAUGUUAAGUGGAAAAGGAUGUGGCGUUGCCCAGACAACUAGGAUGUUGGCUUAGAAGCAGCCAUCAUUUAAAGAGUGCGUAAUAGCUCACUAGUCGAGUGACACUGCGCCGAAAAUGUACCGGGGCUAAACAUAUUACCGAAGCUGUGGAUUGUCCUUUGGACAAUGGUAGGAGAGCGUUCUAAGGGCGUUGAAGCAUGAUCGUAAGGACAUGUGGAGCGCUUAGAAGUGAGAAUGCCGGUGUGAGUAGCGAAAGACGGGUGAGAAUCCCGUCCACCGAUUGACUAAGGUUUCCAGAGGAAGGCUCGUCCGCUCUGGGUUAGUCGGGUCCUAAGCUGAGGCCGACAGGCGUAGGCGAUGGAUAACAGGUUGAUAUUCCUGUACCACCUAUAAUCGUUUUAAUCGAUGGGGGGACGCAGUAGGAUAGGCGAAGCGUGCGAUUGGAUUGCACGUCUAAGCAGUAAGGCUGAGUAUUAGGCAAAUCCGGUACUCGUUAAGGCUGAGCUGUGAUGGGGAGAAGACAUUGAGUCUUCGAGUCGUUGAUUUCACACUGCCGAGAAAAGCCUCUAGAUAGAAAAUAGGUGCCCGUACCGCAAACCGACACAGGUAGUCAAGAUGAGAAUUCUAAGGUGAGCGAGCGAACUCUCGUUAAGGAACUCGGCAAAAUGACCCCGUAACUUCGGGAGAAGGGGUGCUCUUUAGGGUUAACGCCCAGAAGAGCCGCAGUGAAUAGGCCCAAGCGACUGUUUAUCAAAAACACAGGUCUCUGCUAAACCGUAAGGUGAUGUAUAGGGGCUGACGCCUGCCCGGUGCUGGAAGGUUAAGAGGAGUGGUUAGCUUCUGCGAAGCUACGAAUCGAAGCCCCAGUAAACGGCGGCCGUAACUAUAACGGUCCUAAGGUAGCGAAAUUCCUUGUCGGGUAAGUUCCGACCCGCACGAAAGGCGUAACGAUUUGGGCACUGUCUCAACGAGAGACUCGGUGAAAUCAUAGUACCUGUGAAGAUGCAGGUUACCCGCGACAGGACGGAAAGACCCCGUGGAGCUUUACUGUAGCCUGAUAUUGAAAUUCGGCACAGCUUGUACAGGAUAGGUAGGAGCCUUUGAAACGUGAGCGCUAGCUUACGUGGAGGCGCUGGUGGGAUACUACCCUAGCUGUGUUGGCUUUCUAACCCGCACCACUUAUCGUGGUGGGAGACAGUGUCAAGCGGGCAGUUUGACUGGGGCGGUCGCCUCCUAAAAGGUAACGGAGGCGCUCAAAGGUUCCCUCAGAAUGGUUGGAAAUCAUUCAUAGAGUGUAAAGGCAUAAGGGAGCUUGACUGCGAGACCUACAAGUCGAGCAGGGUCGAAAGACGGACUUAGUGAUCCGGUGGUUCCGCAUGGAAGGGCCAUCGCUCAACGGAUAAAAGCUACCCCGGGGAUAACAGGCUUAUCUCCCCCAAGAGUUCACAUCGACGGGGAGGUUUGGCACCUCGAUGUCGGCUCAUCGCAUCCUGGGGCUGUAGUCGGUCCCAAGGGUUGGGCUGUUCGCCCAUUAAAGCGGUACGCGAGCUGGGUUCAGAACGUCGUGAGACAGUUCGGUCCCUAUCCGUCGUGGGCGUAGGAAAUUUGAGAGGAGCUGUCCUUAGUACGAGAGGACCGGGAUGGACAUACCUCUGGUGUACCAGUUGUCGUGCCAACGGCAUAGCUGGGUAGCUAUGUGUGGACGGGAUAAGUGCUGAAAGCAUCUAAGCAUGAAGCCCCCCUCAAGAUGAGAUUUCCCAACUUCGGUUAUAAGAUCCCUCAAAGAUGAUGAGGUUAAUAGGUUCGAGGUGGAAGCAUGGUGACAUGUGGAGCUGACGAAUACUAAUCGAUCGAAGACUUAAUCAA